CAACUUUCAGCAACGGANCUCUUGGCUCUCGCAUCGAUGAAGAACGCAGCGAAAUGCGAUAAGUAAUGUGAAUUGCAGAAUUCAGUGAAUCAUCGAAUCUUUGAACGCACCUUGCGCUCCUUGGUAUUCCGAGGAGCAUGCCUGUUUGAGUGUCAUUU
RNAcentral lists this ribosomal RNA (158 nucleotides) under Hebeloma excedens. RNAcentral's name for it is "5.8S ribosomal RNA". It matches the Rfam family "5.8S ribosomal RNA". From Rfam's summary of the family: 5.8S ribosomal RNA (5.8S rRNA) is a component of the large subunit of the eukaryotic ribosome. It is transcribed by RNA polymerase I as part of the 45S precursor that also contains 18S and 28S rRNA. The record is from RNAcentral. Lineage: Eukaryota; Fungi; Basidiomycota; Agaricomycetes; Agaricales; Hymenogastraceae.